RNAcentral lists this ribosomal RNA (472 nucleotides) under uncultured bacterium. RNAcentral's name for it is "bacterial SSU rRNA". It matches the Rfam family "Bacterial small subunit ribosomal RNA", at positions 28 to 526 of the family's 1533-position model. The record is from RNAcentral.
GACGAACGCUGGCGGCGUGCUUAACACAUGCAAGUCGAACGAGGUGCUUGCACCUAGUGGCGAACGGGUGAGUAACACGUGAGCAACCUGCCCUUGGCUCUGGGAUAGCCUCCGGAAACGGGGAUUAAUACCGGACAGGACCUUCGCGGGCAUCUGCGGGGGUGGAAAGUUUUUCGGCCAGGGAGGGGCUCGCGGCCUAUCAGCUUGUUGGAGGGGUAACGGCCCACCAAGGCGACGACGGGUAGCCGGCCUGAGAGGGCGACCGGCCACACUGGGACUGAGACACGGCCCAGACUCCUACGGGAGGCAGCAGUGGGGAAUAUUGCGCAAUGGGGGAAACCCUGACGCAGCGACGCCGCGUGCGGGAUGAAGGCCUUCGGGUUGUAAACCGCUUUCACCAGGGACGAAGCGAGAGUGACGGUACCUGGGGAAGAAGCGCCGGCUAACUACGUGCCAGCAGCCGCCGUAAAAC